This 253-nucleotide ribosomal RNA is filed under the name uncultured bacterium. RNAcentral's name for it is "partial 16S ribosomal RNA". It matches the Rfam family "Bacterial small subunit ribosomal RNA", at positions 524 to 776 of the family's 1533-position model. The record is from RNAcentral.
UACAGAGGAUGCAAGCGUUAUCCGGAAUGAUUGGGCGUAAAGCGUCUGUAGGUGGCUUUUUAAGUCCGCCGUCAAAUCCCAGGGCUCAACUCUGGACAGGCGGUGGAAACUACCAAGCUGGAGUACGGUAGGGGCAGAGGGAAUUUCCGGUGGAGCGGUGAAAUGCGUAGAGAUCGGAAGGAACGCCGGUGGCGAAAGCGACACACUGGACCUUGUCUGACGCUGAGGCACGAAAGCCAGGGGAGCAAACGGG